Manihot esculenta (cassava) is the source of this 544-nucleotide long non-coding RNA. RefSeq lists it as uncharacterized. The transcript has 2 exons. NCBI's taxonomy places the organism in Eukaryota, Viridiplantae, Streptophyta, Magnoliopsida, Malpighiales, Euphorbiaceae. The record is from RefSeq and is a predicted model, not a curated record.
GUAUAAAGUAUUGAAUCUCGGACUCCUAAAUUUAAUUUAAAUAAAUGGUAAACAAAAUAUAACAUAUGAAAUGUAAAUUAUAAGAAGUGAUCUCGAAAAUUUCUCGAGAAAGAAAGAGAGUGAGAGAGCAUCGAAAAGAAAAAGAAGAAAAGAGAAAGAAAAACGAUAUAAGGGCCGGUUAAAUCAUAUGCAGCGUUGUCGGCGUGAAGUUGGUUAGGUCUUUUGCGGUUCGCAACACUAGUGCGGCGGUGGUGGCGAUGGUGGUGGUCGUCGUAGAUUUGGCACGCCAGCAUUGAUUUCUGUGGGUAGCUCCGAUCUAGACUGGGCUCUGGAUUUUUGAGCUGAUUGUUUCCAUUUUGGACCGUAGUUUUUUUUUUUUUAGGUUGAAUUAUUUUAUGGGUGGGGUUCUGGAUAGUUCUAUCUCUUGAGAUACUUCUUGAACCGAUAGUGCCUAAUUAAUUAGCCUCUAAACUUGUUAAAUGCAAUAUCAUUUGCAUUAUUAAAAAAAAUUAAAUUAAAAAAAUAAAUUACAAUGAUUAUUUUC